RNAcentral lists this ribosomal RNA (467 nucleotides) under uncultured bacterium. RNAcentral's name for it is "partial 16S ribosomal RNA". It matches the Rfam family "Bacterial small subunit ribosomal RNA", at positions 28 to 507 of the family's 1533-position model. The record is from RNAcentral.
GACGAACGCUGGCGGCGUGCUUAACACAUGCAAGUCGAACGGAAAGGCCCUGCUUUUGUGGGGUGCUCGAGUGGCGAACGGGUGAGUAACACGUGAGUAACCUGCCCUUGACUUUGGGAUAACUUCAGGAAACUGGGGCUAAUACCGGAUAGGAGCUCCUGCUGCAUGGUGGGGGUUGGAAAGUUUCGGCGGUUGGGGAUGGACUCGCGGCUUAUCAGCUUGUUGGUGGGUAGUGGCUUACCAAGGCUUUGACGGGUAGCCGGCCUGAGGGGGUGACCGGCCACAUUGGGACUGAGAUACGGCCCAGACUCCUACGGGAGGCAGCAGUGGGGAAUAUUGCACAAUGGGCGGAAGCCUGAUGCAGCAACGCCGCGUGCGGGAUGACGGCCUUCGGGUUGUAAACCGCUUUCGCCUGUGACGAAGCGUGAGUGACGGUAAUGGGUAAAGAAGCACCGGCUAACUACGUG